GACGAACGCUGGCGGCGUGCUUAAUACAUGCAAGUCGAGCGGAUGGAAGGAAGCUUGCUUCCUAAAGUCAGCGGCGGACGGGUGAGUAACACGUGGGCAACCUGCCCCUAAGAUCGGGAUAACUUCGGGAAACCGGAGCUAAUACCGGAUAGGAUUAUGUCUCACAUGAGACAUAAUGGAAAGACGGGUUAGGCUGUCACUUAGGGAUGGGCCCGCGGCGCAUUAGCUUGUGGGGGAGGUAAAGGCUCACCAAGGCGACGAUGCGUAGCCGACCUGAGAGGUUGAUCGGCCACACUGGGACUGAGACACGGCCCAGACUCCUACGGGAGGCAGCAGUAGGGAAUCUUCCGCAAUGGACGAAAGUCUGACGGAGCAACGCCGCGUGAGUGAAGAAGGUUUUCGGAUCGUAAAACUCUGUUGUUAGGGAAGAACAAGUACCAUAGUAACUGAUGGUACCUUGACGGUACCUAACCAGAAAGCCACGGCUAACUACGUGCCAGCCGCCGCGGUAA
Molecule: ribosomal RNA, 512 nt
Filed under: uncultured bacterium
Lineage: Bacteria
Description: partial 16S ribosomal RNA
Rfam family: Bacterial small subunit ribosomal RNA
Source: RNAcentral